AGAGUUUGAUCAUGGCUCAGGACGAACGCUGGCGGCGCGCUUAACACAUGCAAGUCGAACGGUGGCUUCGGCCGCCGUGGCAGACGGCUGAGUAACGCGUGGAAACCUGCCCUGGUGUGGGGGAUAAGCCCGCGAAAGCGGGUCUAAUACCGCAUACGGUAGCUUCGGCUAAGAAAGCCUUUGGGUGCACCAGGAGGGGUCCGCGUCCGAUUAGCCUGUUGGUGGGGUAACGGCCUACCAAAGCGACGAUCGGUAGCUGGUCUGAGAGGACGACCAGCCACACUGGAACUGAGACACGGUCCAGACACCUACGGGUGGCAGCAGUCGAGAAUUUUUCGCAAUGGGGGAAACCCUGACGGAGCGAUACAGCGUGGUGGAUGAAGUGCUUCGGUACGUAAACACCUUUUACGUGGGACGAAAUUAUUGACGGUACCACAUGAAUAAGGGGCUCCUAACUCUGUGCCAGCAGGAGCGGUAAUACAGAGGCCCCAAGCAUUAUCCGGAAUUACUGGGCGUAAAGGGUGUCAAGGCGGUCAUGUUAGUCGUUCGUAAAAUCCGUGGGCUCAACCUACGGCUCGCGAGCGAAACGGCAUGACUUGAGGUUGGAAGAGGUGCGUGGAACUCACGGUGUAGGGGUGAAAUCCGUUGAUAUCGUGGGGAACACCAAAGGCGAAGGCAGCGCACUGGUCCAAAUCUGACGCUCACACACGAAAGCCAGGGUAGCGAACGGGAUUAGAUACCCCGGUAGUCC
Molecule: ribosomal RNA, 751 nt
Filed under: uncultured soil bacterium
Lineage: Bacteria
Description: bacterial SSU rRNA
Rfam family: Bacterial small subunit ribosomal RNA
Source: RNAcentral